UGGGGAAUAUUGCACAAUGGGCGCAAGCCUGAUGCAGCAACGCCGCGUGAGGGACGACGGCCUUCGGGUUGUAAACCUCUUUUAGUAGGGAAGAAGCGAAAGUGACGGUACCUGCAGAAAAAGCACCGGCUAACUACGUGCCAGCAGCCGCGGUAAUACGUAGGGUGCGAGCGUUGUCCGGAAUUAUUGGGCGUAAAGAGCUCGUAGGCGGUCUGUCGCGUCUGCUGUGAAAAUCCCGAGGCUCAACCUCGGGCCUGCAGUGGGUACGGGCAGACUAGAGUGCGGUAGGGGAGAAUGGAAUUCCUGGUGUAGCGGUGGAAUGCGCAGAUAUCAGGAGGAACACCGAUGGCGAAGGCAGUUCUCUGGGCCGUAACUGACGCUGAGGAGCGAAAGCGUGGGGAGCGAACAGGAUUAGAUACCCUGGUAGUCCACGCCGUAAACGUUGGGCGCUAGAUGUGGGGACCAUUCCACGGUUUCCGUGUCGCAGCUAACGCAUUAAGCGCCCCGCCUGGGGAGUACGGCCGCAAGGCUAAAACUCAAAGGAAUUGACGGGGUCAUAGCUG
Molecule: ribosomal RNA, 563 nt
Filed under: uncultured bacterium
Lineage: Bacteria
Description: partial 16S ribosomal RNA
Rfam family: Bacterial small subunit ribosomal RNA
Source: RNAcentral